GAGUUUGAUCCUGGCUCAGGACGAACGCUGGCGGCGGGCUUAACACAUGCAAGUCGAACGUGAAGCCCGGGGCUUGCUCCGGGUGGAAAGUGGCGAACGGGUGCGUAACGCGUAGGCAACCUGCCCUCGAGUGGGGAAUAACCAUCGGAAACGGUGGCUAAUACCGCAUGACGUCUUUUUUCUGCAUGGAAGGGAGAUUAAAGCCUUCGGGUGCUUGAGGAUGGGCCUGCGUCGGAUUAGUUAGUUGGUGAGGUAACGGCUCACCAAGGCGACGAUCCGUAGCUGGUCUGAGAGGAUGAUCAGCCACACUGGCACUGAGACACGGGCCAGACUCCUACGGGAGGCAGCAGUGAGGAAUAUUGCGCAAUGGGCGAAAGCCUGACGCAGCCACGCCGCGUGGAGGAAGACACCCCUAUGGGGCGUAAACUCCUUUUAUACGAGAAGAAACCCCCUACAUGUAGGGGCCUGACGGUAUCGUAUGAAUAAGCACCGGCUAACUCCGUGCCAGCAGCCGCGGUAAUACGGAGGGUGCAAGCGUUGUCCGGAAUCACUGGGUGUAAAGGGUGUGUAGGCGGGAUAGCAAGUCAGAGGUGAAAUCCUGCAGCUUAACUGUAGAACUGCCUCUGAUACUGUUAUUCUUGAGUAUCGGGAGAGGUCGCUGGAAUUCGUGGUGUAGCGGUGAAAUGCGUAGAUAUCACGAGGAACACCAGAGGCGUAGGCGGGCGACUGGACGAUUACUGACCGCCUGAGGCCACGAAAGCGUGGGGGAGCAAACAGAUUUAGAUAACCCCUGGGUAGUCCCACCGCCCGUAAAACGAUGGGAUUGCCUCCG
Molecule: ribosomal RNA, 832 nt
Filed under: uncultured bacterium
Lineage: Bacteria
Description: bacterial SSU rRNA
Rfam family: Bacterial small subunit ribosomal RNA
Source: RNAcentral